UACGAAGGGUGCAAGCGUUAAUCGGAAUUACUGGGCGUAAAGCGUGCGUAGGUGGUCUUUUAAGUCCGUUGUGAAAGCCCUGGGCUCAACCUGGGAAUGGCAGUGGAUACUGGAAGGCUGGAGUACGGUAGAGGAGGGUGGAAUUCCCGGUGUAGCGGUGAAAUGCGUAGAGAUCGGGAGGAACAUCAGUGGCGAAGGCGGCCCUCUGGACCAGUACUGACGCUGAGGCACGAAAGCGUGGGUAGCAAACAGG
Molecule: ribosomal RNA, 253 nt
Filed under: uncultured bacterium
Lineage: Bacteria
Description: partial 16S ribosomal RNA
Rfam family: Bacterial small subunit ribosomal RNA
Source: RNAcentral